AGUGGCGGACGGGUGAGUAACGCGUGAGAAUCUGCCUUGGGGUCGGGGACAACCACUGGAAACGGUGGCUAAUACCGGAUAAGCCGAUUGGUGAAAGAUUUAUUGCCCGAAGAGGAGCUCGCGUCUGAUUAGCUAGUUGGUGAGGUAAGAGCUCACCAAGGCAGCGAUCAGUAGCUGGUCUGAGAGGACGAUCAGCCACACUGGGACUGAGACACGGCCCAGACUCCUACGGGAGGCAGCAGUGGGGAAUUUUCCGCAAUGGGCGAAAGCCUGACGGAGCAAGACCGCGUGAGGGAGGAAGGCUCUUGGGUUGUAAACCUCUUUUCUCAGGGAAGAAGCUCUGACGGUACCUGAGGAAUCAGCCUCGGCUAACUCCGUGCCAGCAGCCGCGGUAAUACGGAGGAGGCAAGCGUUAUCCGGAAUUAUUGGGCGUAAAGCGUCCGCAGGUGGCGAUUCAAGUCUGCUGUCAAAGCACGGGGCUUAACUCCGUAAAGGCAGUGGAAACUGAAUAGCUAGAGUGCCGUAGGGGUAGAGGGAAUUCCCGUGUAGCGGUGAAAUGCGUAGAGAUCGGGAAGAACAUCGGUGGCGAAAGCGCUCUACUGGACGGCAACUGACACUCAGGGACGAAAGCUAGGGGAGCGAAUGGGAUUAGAUACCCC
Molecule: ribosomal RNA, 659 nt
Filed under: uncultured bacterium
Lineage: Bacteria
Description: bacterial SSU rRNA
Rfam family: Bacterial small subunit ribosomal RNA
Source: RNAcentral